This 253-nucleotide ribosomal RNA is filed under the name uncultured bacterium. Its description in RNAcentral is "partial 16S ribosomal RNA". It matches the Rfam family "Bacterial small subunit ribosomal RNA", at positions 524 to 776 of the family's 1533-position model. The record is from RNAcentral.
UACAGAGGUCUCGAGCGUUGUUCGGAUUCAUUGGGCGUAAAGGGUGCGUAGGUGGCGCUGUAAGUCGGGUGUGAAAUCCUGAGGCUUAACCUCGGAACUGCAUUCGAUACUGCGGCGCUUGAGGACUGGAGAGGAGACUGGAAUUCAUGGUGUAGCAGUGAAAUGCGUAGAGAUCAUGAGGAAGACCAGUGGCGAAGGCGGGUCUCUGGGCAUUACCUGACGCUGAGGAGCGAAAGUGUGGGGAGCGAACAGG